Molecule: long non-coding RNA, 1641 nt
Organism: Phyllopteryx taeniolatus (common seadragon)
Lineage: Eukaryota; Metazoa; Chordata; Actinopteri; Syngnathiformes; Syngnathidae
Exons: 3
Source: RefSeq, a predicted model, not a curated record
CAGGCUCCUUUCGGUGGCCGGUUGUCGUGACGCCUCGGUGGGGCCAGCGGACUGCCCUGGGUCCCUCGGCGUGGGAGGUGCCCCGUCUGCCAGACUGCUCUCGAGUGGAUUUCUGGGCCAGAUCCCGUCUCUCGAUUGAUUGGGGUAUGCACCGGACCUCAGCAUUUUGGCACAAAAAGUAACUUCACACGGCACCGGUGAUUUUGAAUUAUUUUUUAUUUUUUUCCCCAAUGGAUGGAAGCAAAUGCUAUAAAACAUUGAUUCCUUUCCCGACCCACCGCUGAGGCACAAGCCUUCUACUGGAGACAUUGGACCUUGGUAACAGAGCUCUCAGGAAAAGGAUCAUCACCAUCUAAAUACACACCCAACCACCCACAAAGAUGCUGACAUCCAUCUGCUGUUGAAGUGGACACUCAGCUGAUAACAACAACACAACCAAAUAUUCCCAUGCCGUGAAGAACAAACGGUGAAUCUGAUCGUCUUCUAUCUUUUCUACCUCACGCCUAAACCUUGCCUGUCGUCAACCUAACCACCAUGACGCACACGUACACACACGUUAACAGCUGUUCACUCUCAUGAUCCCUUCCAUCUAUGUCAACCCCAACCCCCACAAUGUACCCCAUUUCUCCCCCUGCUACUCAUGUAAACAACAGCCCCACCCUCUCCAUUUCAAUCACCUCCGUCAAGCACCCCAGCUCCAACUAUCUAGGCUACCAAACACACAUGCACACACACGCUAAGACCCCUGCACAAAACCACACACACAUACAGUCACCCCUACAUACAACUGCAACGUAAACAUCCAGGCAAUGUCCCUGCCCCCCUCUUCAACUCUCAGGAAUGCAUGGCCAGCUGGUGGAGGAAAUAAAAAACGAAGACACAUAGCAAAACAGGAAAUGCAUCAGCAGGGGCCUAUCAGAGGGCUUUAUCAGGCCAGUGGCAGCUCAACUGAGAACCUGGGUGGCGCCGCAUUCUGAUUGGCUGAUCAAAGCGGCAGCUGUGUCAUUACAGGUCAUGAGGUCAGGGGGUAAUCAUGAAAGGUUACGAGCAUGCACAUUUGUGCAUGUGUGUGAUGCCACGGCAAUCUAAAUGCAGGGGAGCUGGAGGAAAUAUGCAAGGAAACGAGGAAGAUGCCAGAAGAUGCUACUGGUUGAGUGAGAAAGUAAGGAUCACUUGGAGAAAGUCAAAGAACAGACAAGGAUGCAGCUGUCAGGGCAAUUCACUUGCCAAUACAUUGUUUCGCCCUCUAUUAUGGAAAUAAUCACUACUCAUUUUGUGGGUACCUAAUGAAAACCACAUUUCACAAUUUUCAAUAGUUUGGGGUCUGGAUGCUAAAAAUAAAACUAAACCAUUGACACAAUGAGAAGAAUGUCACAAAAACCGGUGAUGCAUGAUUUGCUAGGUGUCGUAGAAUAGGUGUGACAACUAACUAGUCAAUAGUUCUACAUUUGACAUUCCAAAGUGCAUGGUUUUAUGGUGGUUUUCAGUAAUGUAUGCUCUCUUUCCACUAAGCUCUUCUUAAAUCUACAAAUACAUUCCACAGCUACACACUUUGUGAGAUUCCCCAAAUCAGAAGACAACGGAAAAUGAGCGCUUUCAGCAAAGCUUGAUUGCAAGGGAAAAGCAUCUCAGUUUCUUGGA